This 484-nucleotide ribosomal RNA is filed under the name uncultured bacterium. RNAcentral describes it as "partial 16S ribosomal RNA". It matches the Rfam family "Bacterial small subunit ribosomal RNA", at positions 30 to 507 of the family's 1533-position model. The record is from RNAcentral.
AUUGAACGCUGGCGGCAGGCCUAACACAUGCAAGUCGAGCGGAUGAAGGGAGCUUGCUCCUGGAUUCAGCGGCGGACGGGUGAGUAAUGCCUAGGAAUCUGCCUGGUAGUGGGGGAUAACGUCCGGAAACGGGCGCUAAUACCGCAUACGUCCUGAGGGAGAAAGUGGGGGAGCUUCGGACCUCACGCUAUCAGAUGAGCCCAGGUCGGAUUAGCUAGUUGGUGGGGUAAAGGCCUACCAAGGCGACGAUCCGUAACUGGUCUGAGAGGAUGAUCAGUCACAGUGGAACUGAGACACGGUCCAGACUCCUACGGGAGGCCGCAGUGGGGAAUAUUGGAAGAUGGGCGGAAUACUGAUCCAGCCAUGCCGGGUGUGUGAAGAAGGUCUUCGGAUUGUAAAGCACUUUAAGUUGGGAGGAAGGGUAGUAAGUUAAUACCUUGCUGUUUUGACGUUACCAACAGAAUAAGCACCGGCUAACUUCGUG